Molecule: small nuclear RNA, 117 nt
Organism: Salvia splendens (bonfire salvia)
Lineage: Eukaryota; Viridiplantae; Streptophyta; Magnoliopsida; Lamiales; Lamiaceae
Product: U5 spliceosomal RNA
Exons: 1
Source: RefSeq, a predicted model, not a curated record
CGGCUGUGCGUCGAGCAUAUAAUUAACUAUUCUUUUGCUUUUUACUAAAGAAUACUGUGUGCUUGUUGCUUAUAAGCAGCAUGAGCCAUUUUUUGGAGGGAACUUCUUUUUUUUUUU